UGGGGAAUAUUGGACAAUGGGGGCAACCCUGAUCCAGCAAUGCCGCGUGUGUGAAGAAGGUCUUCGGAUUGUAAAGCACUUUCGACGGGGACGAUGAUGACGGUACCCGUAGAAGAAGCCCCGGCUAACUUCGUGCCAGCAGCCGCGGUAAUACGAAGGGGGCUAGCGUUGCUCGGAAUGACUGGGCGUAAAGGGCGUGUAGGCGGUUUACACAGUCAGAUGUGAAAUCCCCGGGCUUAA
RNAcentral lists this ribosomal RNA (240 nucleotides) under uncultured bacterium. Its description in RNAcentral is "partial 16S ribosomal RNA". It matches the Rfam family "Bacterial small subunit ribosomal RNA", at positions 355 to 612 of the family's 1533-position model. The record is from RNAcentral.